AAAUAUCUUGUAUAUUAUCACCUUUGAGUAUGUUUCCUUUCAAAAAAAUCACAACAGAUAAUAUUAAUGUUCCACUUGGUACACCAUUCAGAAACACUUUUCUUAUACACUUAUCAUAUCAUAAUAAUUCAAUAAUAAACAAAGAAUUAUGACAUCUCACUAUUAUGUUAAUUUUUACAAUUCUAACAUAAAAUAUAUACGCCAAUAUCAUAUAGUUCAUACUGUAAUUUCACUAUAAUUGUAUAACAAGGACAUUGGUUUUCUAACACAGCAAGCAACAUGCGACACGCCCUACCCGUACAAAUCGCACACGAUGAUCCACCUGCCUCGAUCGAUCCUCGUCUCGACGCACACUGGCGCCCGAUCCCGGCGGUUCAAUCGAUUCUCGUUCGACUCGGGACACGUGACCCUACGUUGCCCUUCCCCAGUCUACCUCUCCCAGCAACAUACAUUCAGGCCAGUGAUUCCGGAUGGAAGCCCGAUGGAACGACAAAACCGGUCUAUCAACCGAGCCAGGUUCGCGCAGGUCCAGUUCAAUUUCAGCACCGAAGGAUUCGUCGUGCACCGAUCAAAGUAAGCAACACGUAACAAAUCGCGAUAUUGACCUGCGUUUAUUGUUUCUCGUAUUGUUCACCAAACCAGAGAAAUUCAAUCAUUCGGGAGAAAUAAACGCGAAGUUAAUCGACGAUGCACCACGAGGCUGGUUAACGAGACGACUAAUUCGAACGUGUUAGGUCCACGAGGAGCAGUUGCACGAUGGUGGUGGUGGCAACGUGUGCGAGUAGGAGUAGCGUGAAGAGAGGAGGAGGGGGUCCAGUCCUCACCACCCGCACUUACCAGCCGGACAAUAAAGAAAGGAAAGGGAGAGGCGAACAGCCGGUAAGGAGGAACAGAGAUACAUUAAAAGUCAUCCGACUCGUAUAGCCGACAGACCAGUGUGUGGUUCGUAUGGAAAGAUGACCCCAGAGAUGGGACUAGUAUUCACUGGGACCCCAGACCGAAUUAAACGCUACCAUUAGUUGGAAUGAUGAAGAGAGGAAGCACGGAUGUCGUGAAUAUUUCGUCAUUGGCACAUUAAUCUCUUUUUUGCUCAUUGGGCGUUGAAUUUUGAUAUGUGGAGAUUAACCUAGUUUUAUGGGUCGAGGAAUUUAUAGGAGAGUAAAAAAUAUUUUGAAGAUUGGAUUCAAAGUUAUAAUUACAUGAAAAUGAAGAAUCAGUUCAUUUUCUUUCCAAGGAAGAAUCAGUCGAUUUUCGAACUUUCGAAGCCCGUAAAGUUUCGAAAACACACAGACGACCCUGAAGAAGAAUUGAAUGGCACAGACAAUGAAUUUACACUCGUGGAGCACGCUUGCAUAUAGUGAAGGUUCGUUCCAGCUGACCAGGGUCGACCAUUGUCAUGUUAAUGAAUAGAAGACACAUUUUCGAGGUUAAAAGUUGCGCUUGUUCACGGAUUUCGUUCUAUGUAAUUAUCUUAUACCUGAACAUCAUGUAUAAUGCAAAUUGACAUGAAGAUACACGAAAAUAAUGAAAUAAAAUGUAACUUUAUCAAAUUUAGUUUUAAAAUGUAUAUUAGAUUGAAUGUUUGAAUCAAUGGAUGUCAUUAAAAUUCUUA
Long non-coding RNA from Apis laboriosa (Himalayan honeybee), 1612 nucleotides. RefSeq lists it as uncharacterized. The transcript has 3 exons. The record is from RefSeq and is a predicted model, not a curated record. Lineage: Eukaryota; Metazoa; Arthropoda; Insecta; Hymenoptera; Apidae.